UUCUAAAAUGUGUAACAAUGGAAGUGUCAAUAAUGGAAGUGUUAACGAUGGAAAUGUUGAGUAACAAAGGAGGUGUUAAGAUAAAACGGCGUGCAAGAUUUAUUGGCGCAGAUAAGUAUUUUUGCGUUUUUGCGGGAAAUCGAACAUAUUUUUAGUCCCAUGUAAAAAUUCUCUAAUUAGUCUGGAAACGGGGGACCUAAUUCUUGCAUUUCGUGAAAACGGGUAAGAUUGGCUAUAAUAUAAUCUUAAUCUUAAAUGUUUUCGAAUAAUCGAAAAUGUUUUGGAAUAGUCGAGGACCGUUAUGUGUGGGUAGGGAGAUGGCUUUUGGAGACGUGUGACGCAUACGCUUCAGUUGAUUUUUCAUAAGUAAAAGUGUACGAAUAACAGAAAAAAGUAGAAAGUGAAAAGAGAAGUGUGAAAAGUAAAAAUAUACAAAAUAAUGCCAAAGCGUAAGAAAGAAUUUUUGCAGUCUCGAAUCAUAUCUCAAAGGUAAAAGAUGGCGCGGAGAAAUGAAACCACGGAAGAAAGAAAAGUACAUCUAACAUUGCUACGAGAAAAUUAUCAACGAAACAGAAAUAAUUAGACAGAAGAGCAACUUGAAAAUUAUAGGAAAACACAUCGAAUCAGAGAAAGAUUAUGUAGAGGAAAAGAAACAGUCUUAUAUAUUGCAUAUAAAUGGAUAAAAAAGACGGUGAUUUAAUACUCAAGCAUAAAAUCAUUGAAGAAACUGUACGCAAAGAAAAAGAAUGUCAAAAAAUUUAUACCAAUUAUACCGUAAAUCCGUAUAAAUUAGGAGAUAUUAUGGCAUCAAAAUUUUAUUCUAAAUACGAAUCUGUUUCUGUUCCCGAGGAUCAUAAAGAAGGGGAGCUAAUGUUGAAAAUGCCUCUGUAUUUGUUAAAGAUAUGCCAUUUUAAGAAAUAUGAGAUGUAUUUUCUCAAAUUUAAUUUUAUAUUUGGUAUAUAUGGAAUAUACAAAAUAUUUGGGCCUGCUUACUUGCGAUUUACUCUUAAUUUGGCACUUAGACAAUGCAGCGAGUUUAGAAGUUAUCAAACGUUCGAAGACAAUCCCUGCUAACAGAUUUCCAUAUCCUCUGACUGAAUCACAGCACAUGACGUGGAUAACUGAUGAAAUGAUACCGGUACCAAUAGACAAAAAUGACAUCAGACUCUAUCAUCCUAAGAAACGAAGCUCCAUUACAAAAUUCAUGGAUUACUAUUUUUCAUGUAAUAAAAACAAAAAUAAUUAAAGUGAAAAAUAAAUUAAUAAAAUUGAAGCACACCAAAAUUAUCUGUUAAAAUUAUCUAACAUUUUAAAACAUAU
Centruroides sculpturatus (bark scorpion) is the source of this 1320-nucleotide RNA transcript. RefSeq lists it as uncharacterized. The transcript has 6 exons. Lineage: Eukaryota; Metazoa; Arthropoda; Arachnida; Scorpiones; Buthidae. The record is from RefSeq and is a predicted model, not a curated record.